AACGCUAGCUACAGGCUUAACACAUGCAAGUCGAGGGGCAUCGGGUUUUCAGCUUGCUGAAAAUGCCGGCGACCGGCGCACGGGUGAGUAACGCGUAUCCAACCUACCAUUUACACCGGGAUAGGCUUUCGAAAGAAAGAUUAAUACCGGAUAGCACCUUAAAGGCACCUGCUUUAAAGGUUAAAGAAUUUUGGUAAAUGAUGGGGAUGCGUUCCAUUAGAUAGUAGGUGAGGUAACGGCCCACCUAGUCAACGAUGGAUAGGGGUUCUGAGAGGAAGGUCCCCCACAUUGGAACUGAGACACGGUCCAAACUCCUACGGGAGGCAGCAGUGAGGAAUAUUGGUCAAUGGGCGAGAGCCUGAACCAGCCAAGUAGCGUGCAGGAUGACGGCCCUAUGGGUUGUAAACUGCUUUUAUAAGGGAAUAAAGUGAGCCUCGUGAGGCUUUUUGCAUGUACCUUAUGAAUAAGGACCGGCUAAUUCCGUGCCAGCAGCCGCGGUAAUACGGAAGGUCCGGGCGUUAUCCGGAUUUAUUGGGUUUAAAGGGAGCGUAGGCCGGAGAUUAAGCGUGUUGUGAAAUGUAGACGCUCAACGUCUGCACUGCAGCGCGAACUGGUUUCCUUGAGUACGCACAAAGUGGGCGGAAUUCGUGGUGUAGCGGUGAAAUGCUUAGAUAUCACGAAGAACUCCGAUUG
Molecule: ribosomal RNA, 693 nt
Filed under: uncultured bacterium
Lineage: Bacteria
Description: bacterial SSU rRNA
Rfam family: Bacterial small subunit ribosomal RNA
Source: RNAcentral